This 1404-nucleotide long non-coding RNA is filed under the name Helianthus annuus (common sunflower). Its description in RNAcentral is "hypothetical non coding rna". The record is from RNAcentral. Lineage: Eukaryota; Viridiplantae; Streptophyta; Magnoliopsida; Asterales; Asteraceae.
CUUAGAGUUAUCGAUCGGUGGCGGAGACAAUUUCAGUUGCAAGUGUACGGUCCAUAGUUUCAAGAGCUAUACGAAGCUUGAUUCUGUGGUUUCUUCUAGUAUUAUUUCUCCAUUGGAGCCUUGUGUUCUGUAUGUAAGUGCGAGAUAAGAUCCUGUCAUGGCUGCACAGCACACACAGAAUAUCAAAUAAGCAAGCAAGCUGGCAUUUGAAUGGUUGAAUCUCUUUUCAUUGUUUAUGGUCCACCAGGUUGAGAUGACACCAGAGGAGGCUAAACAGAUAUAAUUGACUUGGCAGACUCCUCACUCUCUUAUUUCUCUCAAAAGUUGAGUGUUCCAAUUUCGGGGUUUCUUUUCUUGGUGGUAUUUUCAGCUGCCAAGCAUACUCAUUUGAAGUCAUUCUCUGUCGAUAAGACGAAGGUUUAGCGUCAUCUUAAAGCCACAAUCAGAAGCAAUUCUUGAAGAAUCAUCCAUUUGUAAUAGAAAAUAUACACCUAAUACACAAUGUUUAUUUGAAGAAUCAUCCACCGUUGAUGGGGAAGAACAUAAGCAAGAGAUAUUUACUUCUACGACUCAUCUUCGCCAGGGUACGUGAAUUCUCAGAGACGCCACUGACUAAGCAGCUUAAGAGAGAUUAUAUGAUCUGUUGAGCUAGGCAUUUUGUCAAACACAAAAGUGGCAUAUUCGUGUUUCGAAUGACAAAAAGAGUCUUACAAAUCCAGCAUAGGUGUCAAUCAAGGUACCGGCUCCUCCAGAGGCAAAGUUUGCUCCGUGCGUAUAUUCCUUAUUACUGGGUUCAAGAUAUGCUGGAAUGGGUGGCAGCUUCGCAUACUCAGCUGCAUCACGGGGUUACGAUAACUAACUGAUUAAAGAAAAUAAAGUUAAGUUCUAUUGAGACAUUGGUCACCUAUGAAGUCGGGAAUGAGACGGCCAUCAGAGAAUCUCCCAUUUGGAGUGCUAAAGUAGGAUUGGCCAUAUGGCCAAUGAUUCGCUUGAAAAUCAGUAAUGGUGUUGAUGUAGUUGUUGUUUCCAGGAUCGAAAAAUGAAUCGCCGAAAACAAAGAGUGCGGAACUCAGGCAGCCAGUAGGUAUUGAUAAGCUGAAAACAACAACAAUAGGAAGAAGAAGAAAGACCAAUUUUCCAUCUGCAAUAGCCAUGGAUGAUCUAUGAUGGACUCUCAGUAGUACUAAAAAGCAAUUCUGAAGUCAUAAGUAGGUUCAAGAUACAUACAGAUAAUGAUAAAUCAUGAAUAAUUUAUUUAUUGAGAGUUGUAAUCAGAGUAGAUGGGAGGCUUAGCUAGUUUCUUUUGAUCCCCCUUCGUUUAUUACAAUAAAUUUACUAGCAGAAACCUAUAGAGGAAUUUUGGAGAAAGCCUGCCAACUGGAAUCAAAAGUUCAGUUUAUGGAU